This 66-nucleotide transfer RNA is filed under the name Oreochromis esculentus (Singida tilapia). RNAcentral describes it as "tRNA-Cys". The record is from RNAcentral. Lineage: Eukaryota; Metazoa; Chordata; Actinopteri; Cichliformes; Cichlidae.
AGCCCCGAGGUGUUUCACAUGUCAGAUUGCAAAUCUGAAGUAGCAGGUUAGCCCCUGCCGGGGCUU